RNAcentral lists this ribosomal RNA (431 nucleotides) under Telmatactis sp. ER-2012. Its description in RNAcentral is "LSU rRNA". It matches the Rfam family "Bacterial large subunit ribosomal RNA", at positions 1940 to 2425 of the family's 2925-position model. The record is from RNAcentral. Lineage: Eukaryota; Metazoa; Cnidaria; Anthozoa; Actiniaria; Isophelliidae.
CACUGACCGUGAUAAUGUAGCGUAAUCAAUAGCCAAUUAAUUGUUGGCCGGUAUGAAUGGCAUCACGAAGGCCCCACUGUCUUAAGAGGACUUCCCAUGAAAUUGAAUUCGUAGUGAAGAUGCUACGUCCAUAUUGUAAGACGAAAAGACCCCAUUGAGCUUUACUAAAGACUUGUAUGGCUCAAAAUAACUUAAAUAAAAAGUUUAGAUAAUGUGGGAUCCGUUUUUGGUUAAUGAAACACCACUCUUUUAUUUUAAGAGAGCUAACCUUGUAGGGAGAAUGCAAGUUGGAUAGUUUGGUUGGGGCGACCACCUUUUAAAAGGUAACGAAGGUGAGCUUAAGGUCCGUAGUUAAUAGCUGGUGGCCUGACUGCAAGGGGGACACCCCGAGCAGACACGUCCUUAGGGAUGUGGGUUAUAGUGACCCGUCA